RNAcentral lists this transfer RNA (85 nucleotides) under bacterium. RNAcentral's name for it is "tRNA-Leu". It matches the Rfam family "tRNA". Rfam says of the family: Transfer RNA (tRNA) molecules are approximately 80 nucleotides in length. Their secondary structure includes four short double-helical elements and three loops (D, anti-codon, and T loops). RNAcentral also lists the same sequence under 1 other name. The record is from RNAcentral.
GGGCGAGUGGCGGAAUCGGUAUACGCGCAGUCUUGAGGUGGCUGUGGAGAAAUCCAUGCAGGUUCAAGUCCUGUCUCGCCCACCA